AACGAACGCUGGCGGCAUGCCUAAUACAUGCAAGUUGAGCGCUGAAUGCUGGUACUUUUACCAACUGGAGGGGCAGCGAACGGGUGAGUAACGCGUGUGGAAGCUUCCUUUUGGCAGGGGACAACAUUUGGGAACGAAUACUAAUACCGCAUAAAAACUGUAAACACAAUGAGUAAGUUUGAAAGAUGCAAUUGCAUCACUCAAAGAUGAUCCCGCGUUGUAUUAGCUAGUUGGUGAGGUAAAGGCUCACGAAGGCGAUGAUACAUAGCCGACCUGAGAGGGUGAUCGGCCAAAUUGGGACUGAGAGAUGGCCCGAGAUACUAAGGGAGGCAGCCGUCGGGGAUUUUCGGCAAUGGACGAAAGUCUGACCGAGCAACGACGGGUGAGAGCAGAAGGUAUUCGGACCGUAAGACUCUUUUGGUAGAGAAGAACGUUAGUGAGAGUGGAAAGCUAAUAAAGUGACGGUACCUACAGAGAAAGGGCCGGCUAACUCCGUG
Molecule: ribosomal RNA, 497 nt
Filed under: uncultured bacterium
Lineage: Bacteria
Description: partial 16S ribosomal RNA
Rfam family: Bacterial small subunit ribosomal RNA
Source: RNAcentral